UGGGGAAUAUUGGACAAUGGGCGCAAGCCUGAUCCAGCCAUGCCGCGUGAGUGAUGAAGGCCCUAGGGUUGUAAAGCUCUUUCACCGGUGAAGAUAAUGACGGUAAUCGGAGAAGAAGCCCCGGCCAACUUCGUGCCAGCAGCCGCGGUAAUACGAAGGGGGCUAGCGUUGUUCGGAUUUACUGGGCGUAAAGCGCACGUAGGCGGACUUUUAAGUCAGGGGUGAAAUCCCGGGGCUCAACCCCGGAACUGCCUUUGAUACUGGAAGUCUUGAGUAUGGUAGAGGUGAGUGGAAUUCCGAGUGUAGAGGUGAAAUUCGUAGAUAUUGGGAGGAACACCAGUGGCGAAGGCGGCUCACUGGACCAUUACUGACGCUGAGGUGCGAAAGCGUGGGGAGCAAACAGG
Molecule: ribosomal RNA, 404 nt
Filed under: Actinomycetes bacterium
Lineage: Bacteria; Bacillati; Actinomycetota; Actinomycetes
Description: Actinobacteria bacterium partial 16S ribosomal RNA
Rfam family: Bacterial small subunit ribosomal RNA
Source: RNAcentral